UAAGGAAUAUUGGACAAUGGUCGCAAGACUGAUCCAGCCAUGCCGCGUGCAGGAAGACGGCCCUAUGGGUUGUAAACUGCUUUUGUACCAGAGAAAACCUAUCUACGUGUAGAUAGCUGAUAGUAUGGUAAGAAUAAGCAUCGGCUAACUUCGUGCCAGCAGCCGCGGUAAGACGAAGGAUGCAAGCGUUAUCCGGAUUCAUUGGGUUUAAAGGGUGCGUAGGCGGGCUUGUAAGUCAGUGGUGAAAUCUCUCAGCUUAACUGAGAAACUGCCAUUGAUACUGCAGGCCUAGAGUAUAGAUGACGUUGGCGGAAUAUGACAUGUAGUGGUGAAAUACUUAGAUAUGUUAUAGAACACCGAUUGCGAAGGCAGCUAACGAAACUAUAACUGACGCUGAGGCACGAAAGUGCGGGGAUCAAACA
This 422-nucleotide ribosomal RNA is filed under the name uncultured bacterium. RNAcentral's name for it is "bacterial SSU rRNA". It matches the Rfam family "Bacterial small subunit ribosomal RNA", at positions 355 to 774 of the family's 1533-position model. The record is from RNAcentral.